UCCCCGGUGGUCCAGUGAUUAAGAAUCUGCCUUCCAAGGCAGGGGACGCAGGUUCGAUCCCUGGCUGGGGAA
RNAcentral lists this transfer RNA (72 nucleotides) under Bos taurus (domestic cattle). It matches the Rfam family "tRNA". From Rfam's summary of the family: Transfer RNA (tRNA) molecules are approximately 80 nucleotides in length. Their secondary structure includes four short double-helical elements and three loops (D, anti-codon, and T loops). Further hydrogen bonds mediate the characteristic L-shaped molecular structure. tRNAs have two regions of fundamental functional importance: the anti-codon, which is responsible for specific mRNA codon recognition, and the 3' end, to which the tRNAs corresponding amino acid is attached (by aminoacyl-tRNA synthetases). tRNAs cope with the degeneracy of the genetic code in two manners: having more than one tRNA (with a specific anti-codon) for a particular amino acid; and 'wobble' base-pairing, i.e. permitting non-standard base-pairing at the 3rd anti-codon position. Lineage: Eukaryota; Metazoa; Chordata; Mammalia; Artiodactyla; Bovidae. The record is from Rfam by way of RNAcentral. RNAcentral also lists the same sequence under 4 other names.